RNAcentral lists this long non-coding RNA (4783 nucleotides) under Lynx pardinus (Iberian lynx). Lineage: Eukaryota; Metazoa; Chordata; Mammalia; Carnivora; Felidae. The record is from RNAcentral.
ACCAGACUGAAGCGAUGCGGGAGGGCAUGCCCAGGAUGAAGACCUGGGCCACAGAGCAGAUGAUCUGGCCCAGCACGGUGACCAGGAAGAGAUGCGGCUUCAGGCUACCCAACUUCACCCAGGCCCCCAGGCAGUUGAGAGCGGACCCGGUGAGGGCGAUGGUGCGCAGGCCGAAUUUCUCCAGCAGCCAGGCCACGGGCAGCAGCAGAGGGAUGUAGGUCAGCAUGUAGCACAUGGACAGCCAGUCGAUGGCAAAGGCGCUGACCCCAUAGAAGUGCAUGAAGAUGUUAUUGAUGGAGCCGUACUGGAUCCACUGGAAGGCGUUGCACAUGGAGUAGCAGCUAAACAGCAGGACCACCACCCAACGGCGCUUGCUCACCUUGAUCACACUAAGGUCCUCGGGGCACGAGCUACUGGGGCGGGCCAAGCCACCGGACUGGGCCAGCAUACUGGGGUGGGCCGAACUGCUCGGGCGGGCCGACACGGCGGGGUGGAUGGAGACACUGGGGUGGGCCGACACGCUCGGAUGCAUCGACACGCUCGGGUGCGUGGACACGCUCUGGUGCCCCGAGGCGCUGUGGUCCACCCGGAGUGCGGGGUCCUGCGCGGGCGUGCCAUUUUGCUCCUGUUGGUUGGGAUCUUCAUUCACCAUGACCACAGCCCCUGCUGAAGCCCUAGACAAGUGCUGAGGACUCCAGCACUCUUAAGGGACAGUGGCCUCGGCUGCCGCCNUGCCGCCUUCGAGCUGUCGGGGCACUUGCCCUGGCCCACCCCGGAAUAAACGGAGACCAGAGCCUUCGUACAAGCUGCGAGCAGAGCUCUCCCUGCACUCACCCCCAGGCUUCUGCUCCCACUUUUCCUGGGUGUCUUCAGCCCCCGACCGCUGUCCCAGGCUGGCCGCGGACACCUCAGCCCGGUCCUGGCUACGGGUGCCUUGAGUCCUCCCGAGGGGUUCAGGCCAACGUCAGCCACUCAAAUCUCAGGGGAAAAGUUCGCGCCUUGCACGGAGCCUCUAGGUGGAACUCGGUUCCGCUCCCGGGCCGGCUUGGGGCCCCGCCCCCUCGGGCGCACGUGACCGCCCCACCCCCGUCCAGCCCGGCUUCCCCCCACCCUCCUGCCCCCCCACUCCCUCCAGCCUUCUCCAGCCGGGCUGGUCCGGCUGCGCAGUUGUUUCGACACAGCUUGCGGGGUGCAUUCCUCCCCCACGCCCCGGGUGCCAUGGAAACCGCCGGGUUAACCCCCACCCCCACCCCGCACUGCCCCUCAAAUGCAUUUGCGCCUCCCAGGGGAGCCGGCAGGAAAACAAACACCGACUCUGCGGAGGUGACCCCACAGACAGAGUCUCCUCCGCGCCUGUCCCCAUUCCCUGCGCGCGGGCACCGAUGCCCGGCGCCUUCUAAGUGUUCUGGGGAAUCGAAGAGGGAUUCCGGACUUUUUCCCACUUGGCUGAGCUCCCAGAUCCUUGCUGAACGUUCCGGUGUAAAAAGAUUUGUAGACUUCCCAGUCUGGUUGCGCUCCUGGGGUAAAUGGGAAUUGCAGGAAACUCGUUUUGCUGGCUGCUUUUCCCCGAGGACCUGGUCCUUUAUUGCGGAACUCAGAUUUGAACCUGUGAGGUAGGGCUCUUCUUUCCCGGGGCUGUCCCUGGGCAGCCCCCCUAGGCCAGCACCUGAGGGUGGAGGGUAGACGGGAGUUUGGAGAUUCUUUAGAGCUGCGGUGUUGUGGGGCAUAGCGCUGGCUCUGGACGUGGUCUUUAGGUAGCCCUGGGCUGCCACCUGUUGAUCCCAGCCCGUGAUAGAGGGUAAUGCCUCGAGUCAUCGCCUCCAGAAAGUCAGACCUGCAGGGCAGAAAUGCCUUCUCGCAGUGUCCAUUUUAGCCCCGAGAAGGAUAAGAGCCCAGAUUCUCCCUGGGUUCAAACACCAGCCUAGCUGCUCCUAGGUGUGUAAUGUAAAUUAAGAUGCACCACCUCUCUGUGCCUCAGUUUCUUCAUCCGUAAAACAGGGAGGAUGAAAUGAUAGUACCCACCUCACAGUGUUGUUUUGAGGCUUGAACGAUGUUAAGACGUGAAAGUAUUUCGAAAAUUCCUGGCAGAUCCUAAGCAUUCCAUGAGUGUUGGCUAUCCUAACUAUUCAAAGGCUAGCAUUUGUUGUAUCGUGUUAAACAUAUUUAGUACGUUAUGUCAUUAAAGCAUCACAGGAAUUCUAUGAUGUAGUUAUUACUGCUCACCUGCAUUUAAGAUCAGAAAACUGAGGGGGUGCCUGGGUGGCCCAGUCACAUAAGCAUCUGACUUCAGCUGGGGUCAUGAUCUCACCAUUCAUGGGUUCGAGCCCCACGUCGGGCCCCGUGCUGACAGUUCAGAGCCUGGAGCCUGCUUGGGAUUCUGUGUCUCCCUCUCUCUCUGUCCUUCUCCGCUUGCACUCGUUCUCUCUUUGCCUCUCAAAAACUAAAUAAAUAAACAUUAAAAAAAAAAAAAGAUCAGAAAACUGAGGCUUAAAAAGUGAAGUAACCUCUUACUAUGACCCCAGCUGGCUUGAAGGGACAUAGUUCUCAUGCCAGUCUGAUUUCAUUCAGGCUGCAGCCUAGCUGCUCAAGUGCAGUCUGGGGACACAGUGUGGGUAUCACCCGGGAACUUGUUACAAGGGCAGAAGCCCAGCCCCACACGUGACCUCCUAAAUUAAAGCCAUAUUUUAUUUUAUUUUAUUUUAUUUUAUUUUAUUUUUUAUUUUAUAGUAUUUUUAAUUUUUUUAAUUUUUUUUUAUUUUUGAGAGAGAGAGAGACAGAGAGAGACAGAGCAUGAACGGGGGAGGGGCAGAGAGAGAGGGAGACACAGAAUCGGAAGCAGGCUCCAGGCUCUGAGCCAUCAGCCCAGAGCCCGAUGCGGGGCUCGAACUCACGGACCGCGAGAUCGUGACCUGAGUCGAAGUCAGACCCUUAACCGACUGAGCCACCCAGGCGCCCCUUUAUAGUAUUUUUUAAAUGUUUAUUUUAUUUGUUUUAUUUUUUUGAGAGAGUGAUAAAGAGAGAGGGUGGGAGGGGCAGAGAGACAGAGACAGAAAAUCCCAAGCAGGUUCCUAGCUGUCAGCAGACAGCCGGAUACAGGGCUCAAACUCUCGAACUGUGAGAUCAUGACCUGAGCUGAAAUCAAGAGUCAGAGGCUUAACCCACAGUCAUUUAUUUUCAGGAUUUUUUAAAAGAUUUUUUAAAUUAUUUUUUUAAUGUUUAUUUAUUCUUGAGAGAGAGAGAGAGAGAGCAUGAGUUGGGGGGAGGGGGGCAGAGCGAGAGAAGGACACAGAAUCCGAAGCAGGUUCCAGGCUCUGAGCUGUCAACACAGAGCCCCACGUGGGGCUCACACUCAUCAGCCGUGAGAUCAUGACCUGAGCCAAAGUCAGAUGCUUAACCCACUGAGCCACCCAGGGGCCCCCUAAAGAGUUUAUUUUUUAAGUAUUCUCUACACCCAACGUGGGGCUCAAACUCACAACCCCAAGAUCAACAGUCACAUGCCCCAACAACUGAGCCAGCCGGAUGCCCCAAAUAAUUUAAUUUUACUUAUUUUUUUAAAUGUAGGCUCCACGCCCAACAUGAAGCUCAAACUCACCACGCUGAGACCAGGAGUCACAUGCUCUAUCACGGAGCCAGCCAGGCGACUCUUGAGGCUACAUUUUAGGAGCUCUCCAGAUGAUUCGUUUGUUUGCACAUUAGAGUUUGCGAGCCGCUGAGUGCUACUGCUUUCCUUUUGUUUUCUUUUAAAAAUUUCAGACCAAAAAAUGAAUUCAAAGCUCUGGGCAGUGGUUCUCAGCUUGGGUUGCACGUUAGAAUCGCAUGGGGAACUCUUAACAUUCCCUUGCCUUGGCCACACCCCAAAUCAGGUUCUUUAGGAGCAGACCCCUGGCUUCUGGCUGGCAUCUGCACGUUUAAAGCUCCCCGGGGGAUCUCAGCAGGUAGCCAAGUUUGAGCAACCCUGGUGGGGCCAGAGUCACUGGUUCUCAGGAGGAGGAACACUGCUUGGAGGAACCCACUUUUUGGCAGGAAGUAUGGGUCUUGAAUUAUAAUGGAAUGUUUGAAGAGAGAACUCAUGCCCAUGAAGAAUUUCUGCACGAACUUAACAUUCCCCAUUCUCAAAAUUCCAGCAGUGUUUUCCAUCAUUCUGCAAAGAGCACAGAACAUCCAUUCUCUUGGAAAGCCUUCCAGUACCUCUCACUGAUUCUUAUUCCUAGAUCAUCAUGGACUUCUCUCCAGACUCUUUACAAUGUGUUCUUUUCUUUUGUAAGGAAAUUGAUUUAUUAAUUUUUUUUGAGCAAUCUCUACACCCAAUGUGGGGCUCAAACUCACAACCCCAAGGUCAAGAGUCAGAUGCUCUACUGACUGAGUCAGCCAGGCGCCCCUUUACAAUGUAUUCUUUUUUUUUUCUUUUUUUAAUGUUUAUUUAUUUGAGAGAGGGACAGAGUGUGAGCCGGGGAGCGGCAGAGAGAGAGGAAGACAUAGAAUCCGAAGCAGGCUCCAGGCUCUGAGCUGUCAGUACAGAGCCCGACAUGGGGCUCGAACCCACGAACUGCGAGAUCAUGCCCUGAGACGAAGUCGGACGCAGAGCCACCCAGACACCCCCGUUUUACAAUGUAUUCUUAACUUCAUUACAGAUAGGGAAACUGAGGCCCAGAGAGUUGGAGUGUGUAACUCAGAACUCCACAGCUACUUAGCAUCAAAACUAGCAACAAUACUGUUCUGCAAGUUCCCCUCCACACAGCCUACCCCUUUUGCUCCUCUGGGGUAACAAAUGCUUCAGUUUGGU